GGGGAUAUAUCUCAGUGGUAGAGUGCUUGCCUAGUAUGCAUGAGGCCUUGGGUUCGAUCUCCAGCAUCACCC
This 72-nucleotide transfer RNA is filed under the name Marmota marmota marmota (Alpine marmot). It matches the Rfam family "tRNA". From Rfam's summary of the family: Transfer RNA (tRNA) molecules are approximately 80 nucleotides in length. Their secondary structure includes four short double-helical elements and three loops (D, anti-codon, and T loops). Further hydrogen bonds mediate the characteristic L-shaped molecular structure. tRNAs have two regions of fundamental functional importance: the anti-codon, which is responsible for specific mRNA codon recognition, and the 3' end, to which the tRNAs corresponding amino acid is attached (by aminoacyl-tRNA synthetases). tRNAs cope with the degeneracy of the genetic code in two manners: having more than one tRNA (with a specific anti-codon) for a particular amino acid; and 'wobble' base-pairing, i.e. permitting non-standard base-pairing at the 3rd anti-codon position. The record is from Rfam by way of RNAcentral. Lineage: Eukaryota; Metazoa; Chordata; Mammalia; Rodentia; Sciuridae. RNAcentral also lists the same sequence under 1 other name.